AGCAGUGGUGAGUUAUCUCAGCAGAAAUCAGAAGUUGGAAACAGAGAAAAUCUUUUUGAGCAGGCUGGAAGAGUCGUGGUUCUGUGGUUUUCUAAGCAACCAUUGAAGCCUGCUGUUUCAAGAACUUAGUUUCAACAACAAGUGGGUGUUGCAAAGAAAGCAAUAUACAUUAUAGAUGAGCUUGGAGUGACAAAUCCAUCCAUAGAAUUCCUUUACCCAUAUGUGAAAAAUGAAAGCUACAGAAGUCCCCAUUGCCUCAGUGAAGUCUAUCAUCCAUCCGUCCACCCAUCCAUCUUCUACUUAUUUCUACUUUACAUUCAUCUAUCAAUGACCAAGGAAAGAACAGAAAGUUCUUGAACAAGACGUAAGAUAAGCUCUGGGCAGUGCCACUUCUAGAAACAGGAAGUAUCAAUAACAUUUUCAGCAUUCUCCCCAAUCCUCACACUGACAGAGAAACAAUUGAAUAGACUGAAUUGGUUUUUUCCCUUUUCAGAUCAUGGAGCUGAAAGCUCUGCUGGCAGGAAGCACAGGGCAUCAGAGAGCUUACUUUGUGGGCUGACUCCCCUGCAUGGAAGCAAAGGCCUUGAGCUACACUGCAGGGCAAGUGAAGCCCUGAGGUGUCCCCUGUGGAGAAGGAGGCACCGUCUGCUGGAUUAGGGCUUUAACCAAAUCUAAAAAAUCUCAGAGGGAACAUUUUAAAACAAAAGCAGCACUUUGCCUCACCUCAACUCCCCCAACACCAUCCUUGGCAUUCUUUCAGGAUUUAAAAAAGUCAUAGUUCUCAUAGGAAAAAGUCUCAGAUACAAUGGGAAGAACAUUGAAAUGUCAAUCAAGCCCUAUUAGACCAAGUAGAAUGAGCAGCAUGAAAAGAAAUGUCAUGGUUACAGUGAAAAUAUUUUUUUGGCAAGAAAGGAAGUAAGACAAACCAGUAAGUCCAUCCUAGGGGAAAAAGAAACUUAAUUCCUGGAAGAGGGGAAAUUCAGCAUAAUUGCUUCAUGACAUGGAGUAAAAAGUAAUUUUUAAGUUUUAGCUGUUAUAAUUUUUGGAAUAUGCAAGCAGUCAAACUUAGAAAAUAUUCAAAGGCAAUACAAAACAAAACCCCAAACAAACAAACAAACAAACAAAAAAACCAAACAGAAGAGAGGAAGGGUUCAGAUCUCAGGAAACAAAAUGAAAUCCAAUCCAAUAAACACUUAAUACAUGAGUUAGAAAUAGCAAACACUAGAAUAAAAAUGGCUAGGAACUGAAUUUCUGACAGUGCAGGGAUAAUAUAAAAUAACAGUGAAUAAACUUAAAAAUAAGAAAAUAAUAACAGAUAUGGGAGACAACUUAUCCAACUAUUGAAAGCCAGCACUUUUGAGUAGAGAGCACAACAGAUAGAACAAAAGUUAUUUAUGCAAAGGAAUGUUUCCAAAAGAAAUAGAGAGGAACCUCCCAGUUUAGAAGGCAUGGGUUCCUCCAGCCUGUAAAAUACUAGGAUGCUUCUUACUGAGAGCUUUUGGGUUCAAGGAGAAAAAAAAAAAGACACUUUGUAUGGAGAAGUAAAAUCAUAUUAAAGAAAAAAUCAGGCUGGACUUAGAAUCCCAGUACCAUCCAACAAGCAACGCUACAGCCAAUGGGGUAUGAUCUAUCAAUCUCUGAGAAGGAAGAGUGACCCAAGGCCACAUCCUCCUGAGGAAACCCCUCAGGUACAAAGGUGACAGUUGGAUAUCUUCAAACUCAAAGCAAUGUAGAUGGAAUGUCUACAAAAAGGAUGCUCGAAUGUAAGGUCUACUCAAUGAAGGCAUUAAGCAAAAUAAACAGAAAUGAUACUAAGA
This is a non-coding RNA of Cricetulus griseus (Chinese hamster), 1817 nucleotides long. The record is from RefSeq and is a predicted model, not a curated record. NCBI's taxonomy places the organism in Eukaryota, Metazoa, Chordata, Mammalia, Rodentia, Cricetidae.